This 240-nucleotide unclassified non-coding RNA is filed under the name soil metagenome. RNAcentral's name for it is "partial contains 5.8S ribosomal RNA, internal transcribed spacer 2, and large subunit ribosomal RNA". The record is from RNAcentral.
AACACUGUUAACCUGCGGUACCUGCGGAAGGAUCAUUACCGAAGUACAGGCCCUUUUACAGGGCUAAACUUCCACCCUUUGUUUACUAUUCUUUGUUGCUUUGGCGAGACGUCUUCGGACCACCGGCUCUUGGGCUGGUGAGCGCUCGCCAGAGGAAAAUCAAACCCAAACCUUUUUUAGUGUCGUCUGAGAAACAAGUUUAAUUAUUAAAACUUUCAACAAUGGAUCUCAGAUCGGAAG